Molecule: non-coding RNA, 966 nt
Organism: Pimephales promelas (fathead minnow)
Lineage: Eukaryota; Metazoa; Chordata; Actinopteri; Cypriniformes; Leuciscidae
Source: RefSeq, a predicted model, not a curated record
CGAGGACUGGAGUUGAGAACCCCUGAUCUACUGCAGUGCAAGUAAUAACUUGUUGGACCUCUGAAACAACUUUUCAGGCAACAGCAGAACUUUAAAUCCCUUCGUCUUCUACCUAGAUGAAACAUUCUGAAAGUAAAAUGAUUUGCGGACAGCAAUUCAUGCUUCUUCAAGAUGUGAAGGUUUUAGGACUUGCAUAAUAUGAGCUUAUAGCUUAAUUAUCCUCUUUCCCGCCUCCAGUCUCAUCUCUCCUUCUGCCCUGAGUUAACAGGUUAAAGAAAGCUCUCAGUAACAGAAUGGCUCUGACAUGAAGAGAAGCACUCCUGAUUUCGUUAGAGGCUGCACUCCACACAUUACGCUGCAGACCUUCUCCUGCACAAUGGAGAUAUGCAUAUUUUACUCCGACGGCAAAUGAAGCCGUCUCUGGACUGGAUGCAUCUUUGUGUGGCUAAAAGAUAACAUGGAGUAAAUUUAUCACACGUUAACAACCAUCGUCAGAGAAUUCAAAUGCAAGUUUAAGAGUCGCACUUGAUCACCAAGACAGGACUGUGAUUGUUGGUUAACGUGACGUAGCAACAGAGAGAUUUUAACCAGAUUUCCAAUCACAGUUGUUAUUAUGAAUGAUUCCCUUUGUGUAAGAAGUCUUUUGUUAAGGCUAAAUUGCAGUGUUCAAUACACUGUGUCAACCCUCUCAUUUAGAUUUGACUUGGUCUCGGUCAGAGACAGUUUGAUACGACAAGAACGAAGCACAUUUAAGGUUUGAGAGCUUAAGAAAUAAAGGGCUCAGGGCGAACCAUUUCCUUGUUUGAAAGGCAAAUCAUUAGUCUGGAGAGAAAUGUCAUAUGGUGACAUCCAUUUGUACUGCAAUUGCUCUCUGACAAUAGCACGCCUUUUUAUGCUAAUAAAAACAGCUUUUAAAACAUGAUGAUCCUUUAGCACGAAAGGGAUGAAUAAAUAAAUAAUGACUUC